Molecule: ribosomal RNA, 253 nt
Filed under: uncultured bacterium
Lineage: Bacteria
Description: partial 16S ribosomal RNA
Rfam family: Bacterial small subunit ribosomal RNA
Source: RNAcentral
CACGGGGGGAGCAAGCGUUGUUCGGAAUCACUGGGCGUAAAGGGCGUGUAGGCGGUCAAGUAAGUGGAAUGUGAAAGCCCCCGGCUUACCCGGGGAUCUGCAUCCCAAACUGCUUGGCUUGAGUACGGGAGAGGAUAGGGGAAUUCCUGGUGUAGCGGUGAAAUGCGCAGAUAUCAGGAGGAACACCGGUGGCGAAGGCGGGUCUCUGGGCCGAUACUGACGCUGAGGAGCGAAAGCGUGGGGAGCAAACAGG